AUUGAACGCUGGCGGCAUGCCUUACACAAGCAAGUCGAACGGCAGCACGGGUGCUUGCACCUGGUGGCGAGUGGCGAACGGGUGAGUAAUACAUCGGAACAUGUCCUGUAGUGGGGGAUAGCCCGGCGAAAGCCGGAUUAAUACCGCAUACGAUCUACGGAUGAAAGCGGGGGACCUUCGGGCCUCGCGCUAUAGGGUUGGCCGAUGGCUGAUUAGCUAGUUGGUGGGGUAAAGGCCUACCAAGGCGACGAUCAGUAGCUGGUCUGAGAGGACGACCAGCCACACUGGGACUGAGACACGGCCCAGACUCCUACGGGAGGCAGCAGUGGGGAAUUUUGGACAAUGGGCGAAAGCCUGAUCCAGCAAUGCCGCGUGUGUGAAGAAGGCCUUCGGGUUGUAAAGCACUUUUGUCCGGAAAGAAAUCCUUGGCCCUAAUACGGUCGGGGGAUGACGGUACCGGAAGAAUAAGCACCGGCUAACUACGUG
Molecule: ribosomal RNA, 486 nt
Filed under: uncultured bacterium
Lineage: Bacteria
Description: partial 16S ribosomal RNA
Rfam family: Bacterial small subunit ribosomal RNA
Source: RNAcentral